CUUGAACUCAGAGAACUCCAGGGAUUAAAGGCAUGUACUUACCUUGCCAAGGCCUAAGAUUUCAUAGUCCCUAUGCCUCAAGAUCUCCACGUCAGAAAGCUUUGUGUUCCAGCUUCAAGAUCUGGAUCACAGGUGUGCCCUCCAUUUCUGGAUUGUAGUUCAUUCCAGAUGUGGUCAAGUGACAACCAGGCAGAGCCAUCACAGGUGUGCUGUUAGAUAGUCACACAGAGAAGCAAGUUACACUUCAGUUUCUUCCUUCAAGAACACAACUGAGAAGAAAGAAAACCAAAAGAUCUAGGAA
This 301-nucleotide long non-coding RNA is filed under the name Androctonus crassicauda. Lineage: Eukaryota; Metazoa; Arthropoda; Arachnida; Scorpiones; Buthidae. The record is from RNAcentral.